GACGGAGGGUGCAAACGUUGUUCGGAAUCACUGGGCGUAAAGGGCGCGUAGGCGGACUUGUAAGUCAGGAGUGAAAUCUCGGGGCUCAACCCCGAGCCUGCCUCUGAAACUGCGAGUCUUGAGGACCGGAGAGGGAAGUGGAAUUCCUAGUGUAGCGGUGGAAUGCGUAGAUAUUAGGAAGAACACCAGUGGCGAAGGCGACUUUCUGGACGGUUCCUGACGCUGAGGCGCGAAAGCUAGGGGAGCAAACAGG
Molecule: unclassified non-coding RNA, 253 nt
Filed under: uncultured Gemmatimonadota bacterium
Lineage: Bacteria; Pseudomonadati; Gemmatimonadota
Description: uncultured Gemmatimonadetes bacterium contains 16S-23S intergenic spacer region
Rfam family: Bacterial small subunit ribosomal RNA
Source: RNAcentral